UACGGGGGGGGCAAGCGUUGUUCGGAAUCACUGGGCUUACAGGGUGCGUAGGCGGCGUUUUAAGUCAGGUGUGAAAUCCCCCGGCUCAACCGGGGAACUGCGCCUGAGACUGGAUUGCUCGAGUGAGGCAGGGGUGUACGGAACUUCCGGUGGAGCGGUGAAAUGUGUAGAUAUCGGAAGGAACGCCAGCAGCGAAAGCGGUACACUGGGCCUUGUCUGACGCUGAGGCACGAAAGCCAGGGUAGCGAAC
RNAcentral lists this ribosomal RNA (250 nucleotides) under uncultured bacterium. RNAcentral describes it as "partial 16S ribosomal RNA". It matches the Rfam family "Bacterial small subunit ribosomal RNA", at positions 524 to 773 of the family's 1533-position model. The record is from RNAcentral.